CUGCUCUAUCCUGAUGGGACUUUUCCUAUAGCUGUACAUCACUGGAAAUGCCUAACAGAGUAAAUCUGUGGUUUUGCUUUACUCGCAGGAUAAUUUUUAGAUCUGCGGGUAGGAACUACAAGACAGUU
This is a small nucleolar RNA of Cynocephalus volans (Philippine flying lemur), 128 nucleotides long. The record is from RefSeq and is a predicted model, not a curated record. Lineage: Eukaryota; Metazoa; Chordata; Mammalia; Dermoptera; Cynocephalidae.